CAUCCUGUCGUGCCGUUAAACUGCCUCAAGAGCCUCCUUGUUCCCUCGGCUUAGUCCCAAGCGACCUGAAGGUGAGGGUCAUUGUCCUCCACCUCGUGUCUGGAAAAGCCCCCAACACAAGUCUGGUCACGGUAAACAUGCCCCUUUCCUUUUCCUAAAACUCGCGCCCCCAGCACAACACGCACACACACGAUGCCUGCGCGUCCACAGCACAGGCGUAGUGAGCUGGUGACGAUGAGUCUGGAGCCACAGCUCGAACCCCCGUUUGGAGAGGCAGCUUUCCCGUAAUUGAAAGGACUUGUGGAAAGUCCUGGGUUCAAAUGGGAGUCCAGCUACUGAAGAGUUUUAGGAAAUGUGUUCAAGACCUAACAAAACGUUUAGACCGUAAUGAUGACAUCGUACAACUUGGAGAUUUCACAGAUGAGAAAAGUGAGGCCUGGAGAGAGGAAGUGACUUGUCAUGAGAGGAGAGAGAGGUGAAAUCUUUCCCAGGUCCGCUCACCACCACUGUGUGGGCUCUGUCUCAGAAUGUUAGCUGCGUGAGAUGGAGAUUUCUAUCUGUCUUGUUCAGUGUGCCGUCUUCCCAAUCCCCAGCAGAGGCCUGGAACUGUGUGAACGUUUACUAAAUAACUGUUGAAUUGAAUUAACCUCCUGGGGAUGCAGAGGUGGAAGUGACCUUGGAAGAUAAAUUUCAUCUGUCCCCCUGCCACCAAGCUGGACUCAGGGGCCUGCGUGGGUGUGUCUAUUCCGUGAGAAUCUCUCAGCAGCAAUCAAGAUUCUUGACAUCUUUAAAAAAUACAGUGGUUUUGAUCACGACCAAGAUCUGCACACUUUC
This is a long non-coding RNA of Neofelis nebulosa (Clouded leopard), 834 nucleotides long. RefSeq lists it as uncharacterized. The record is from RefSeq and is a predicted model, not a curated record. The transcript is spliced from 3 exons. NCBI's taxonomy places the organism in Eukaryota, Metazoa, Chordata, Mammalia, Carnivora, Felidae.